CAUAAACUAUUAAAAUUCAAUACAACGUAAAAAGAAUUGCAAUCUUCUUUUAAGAAACAAUAGAUGAUCAACAUUAACUUCGAAGUUCGAACCAAGACAGUCUUAUUACAAAUUGAAACAGUUUUACUAGAUGGCUCACCAAAUAAAACAAGAAUUAACCCAAAUGGCUGACCACCCAAUCGUUUAAAGUAAAAAUAACUAGUAAAAUGUAUAAUAUAUGCAUAAUUUAUGUAUUAUAUGUGUACAAUUAUGUAUAAUUAAUGUAUAAUCUAUUUGUGUAAAGAUUGAAGAUUCCAACAAGAAAUCUUAUUACAAACUUACAGGUAAAAUUAAAUCAAGCACAUUAUUUUCAUAUUUAAAUUUAAUAAAAUAUGCAGGAAUAUAGUGCUGUAGAAUUCCAAUAUAUAUAUGUGGUUGCCUUUAAUAAAUCGAAUGAUGGAUUUACUGUGGAGGAACGCGAAAGUAGAGUGGAAUAGGAUUGUGAGGUUCAGGAGUAGAGUCCCAAACAGAGAAUGCGCUGCUGGAGUUCAUCCAUUUCUCAGUUAUUUCAGGGUAAUGUCGAUCUAACACAUCUUUCAAGCUUUCUGUUGUAUUUACCCAUUCCAGUCCUUUCUUUGUAUAUGUCUCCUCCUUGUAAUUGCUGGUGAAAAAUCUGUCUGCCUCUAACCUCCUGCAAAUUUGCAAAUUAACUUUCUAUUAGUAAUUCUUCAAAAGAUUUGAGUUCUACUCACAUUAAACAAAAAAGAUAUUAUCAAUACAUUGAUGGCAGGUCAAUUUACAAUUUUUACUAUUCUAUUACUUAUCAUAAAAAUGGGUUUUACUUUUAUACACUAAUAGAUCACGUAAAAGAUUGUAUUCCUAGUAGAUAAAUAGGGCAGUCCGAUGCACUAAGCUCCGGUUAUCCGCGGGGUCCGGGAAAGGGCCGGACCACAAAGGUCUCUUGUACGCAGUCUUACCUGCAUUUUUGCACGAGACUGUUCUCACGGCUCGAACUCGAUCGUGACCUCCUGAUUAUAUGGCAACAACUUUACACGUGAAGGCUCAUCUUCUAAUAGAAACAUUAAUAGAUCACGUAAAAGAUUGUACUAGAUAAUGCUUAAAAAUUAGGAUCUGUUACGUGCUACACUAAAUUAAAAUACACGGGUAGUAAAAAUUGUUAUCAUACUAAUAUCAUUAUAUAGAAUUUAAAUAAAACUUAUUUGUUUUUUAUUUACCAACCUUGAUGCCAUGAUGAGGAAUAUGAAAAAGGCAGUCUCCGAAAUGGCAAAACCCUUAAUCUUUUUCUCGGCAGCCAUUCCAACCAUCAGAUCCAAUUCUUCUACAUCAUCACCAUAUACUUCACGAAGUGUAUUAAUCACUUCUUCAUCGUCCGUCAAAUCUUCCCAUUUGGAGAUGGGAAUUUGCAGCAUUCCUCUGCGAAAUUCAUUGUACCUAGCAACACUCCUUUCUCUGUCCCUAUAAACUGCCAUAUAUCCAAACAUAAUCAAUUAAAUGUGCGAAAAUGUAAUUUUGUGAUUUUAUUGUUUAUGGUAAGUUAAGUCUAAUAACCUUGGGCUGCAAGAUCAAUUAUUGAAAUUAAAAUUCUUUUUAUGCUAAUAUUAAAUGAACUUACUUUCAAGGGCUGCAAGAUCAACAUGAUCUGGCCUAUCAGUCCCAUCCACAUUUUGAGCAACAAGAUCCCUCAUCCACACUGGAUAGUUCCAAAGCUCAAGAGCUCCACAGGCUUGGUGACCCAUUGAUACCAUUUGCUUAGUAAAACCGAUUCUUGAUAAAUUCUCCUCUCCUUUUCCCCCAAUUAAAUCUUCCAUGGGAAUUCUACAAUUUCAAGGAAAUUACAUUUGUAAACACAAGUCAUUCUGUAGGGGUUCGAAAAAUAUUUGAGUGAAGUCGGAAAAAUAUGUACUAGAAAUUGAAGUUAAAAAGUCAUUUAAAAGCUAAGUUUUAUUUAUACAUGAAUUUUAGUUUAAAGAAUAAGGAUAAAGUCCUUUGGAAUAAAAAUCAUAAACUCCUAUUAAUUUCAUUUGAAAAACAAAAAAAAUUCAAUAUUUCAAUUACUAUUGGUCAUUAUAUUUAUACUUAUGAAGGGAAGCCUUGGCGUAACUGGAAAUGUUGUUGUUAUGUGACCAAGAGAUCUCGGGUUCAGCCAUGAAAAUAGCCUCUUACAUAAAUAAAUAAAACUGCGUAAGAUAGAUCCUUGUGGUUCGGCCUUUUCCCGAACCUCGCGCAUAGCAGGAGUUUAGUGCACCAGGCUGCCGCGUUAUACUUAUAAUCAAAUUUAUACUUGCAAAUAGCGAAUGUUAUUUUUGGCGAUAUAGUAUUUUACCAUAUAUAUAUAUAUAUAUAUAUUAAUGAUGCCUUACUCAUUAGUCAAAGGGAGAGAUUUGUUUGGUCCAGGUGUGGCAUCUACGUUCCUCAGCUGCAGCUUAUCAGGUAAAAGUUGAUGCAUUCGGUAAACACUCGUAAAUUCCUCAGUCAAGGAGUAGGGUACUCCAUGAUUUUCAGGUUUUUUCAUUCCUACAAACCCACCCAAAAUUGAACCUCCAAUGUGCCCAAAUGUGUCCUUAAACUUCUUCCCUAGUAAUCCAUACCUGUAAUGUAAUUAAGAUUAUUAGUCAGACAACAACUAAUAAAUAUAAAAGUACGACAAAAACUAGUACUAGUAUAUAUAAGGGAGGGAGCAUUAACCAAUUGGUACGCAUUGCUGCAAGCAUGGUAUCCGUUUUGAGAAGCUCAACAGUCCAAUCAAUUGUGUGAACUUUUGCAAUAACAGCAGAAGUGACCAGCCUUGCAUGACGAUACAAGUCUUCCUCCUCCAAUUCUGGAUAUUCUUUCUGCAACAUAUAUAACAAAUCAAGUUAAAGAAAGACGCAAAUGUAAUAAUAAUAAUAAUAUCGACGAUUUUAAGCAGUACUAGGAGGUAAUCUUUUUAAAUUUUAGGUUAUUGAUUUCACUAUUAUUACGGAUUAGGGUUGUAGGAAGGUGUGGAGGUCGAGCAUUAUGGUUGUAGGUUAAGGGGUAGUCGAGUGUUUUUCCUCUUUGUACCGGCUAGUCUGAUAGUGUUUUGUCUAGGACUGCUAGCGAUUUAUGUUGCGUUUCACACUUUUGCAUAGUAUUUGUGUUAUUGCUUUCCCAUUUAGCUGUUAUCUCUCACGUUGCCGAUAUUAUUUUUCUGGUUUCUGUUGUUGUUACGGAUCUAUUAUCUCUGAGCCGAGGGUCUCCCGGAAACAGCCUUUCUACCCCUCCGGGGUAGGGGUAAGGUCUGUGUACACUCUACCUUCCCCAGACCCCACUGGUGGGAUUCUAUUGGGUUGUUGUUGUAAUUUUACUAUUGUUGGAUUGUUACCUGUAAUUAUAUCAUAUUUUUAGUGUAUAAUUAAAAGUUAAAAUCUAAUAUGAUUAGUACCUUCAAGGCAUCACAAACAGAAUUGUGCUCUUGAACAAAGAGAGCCUGUAGUGCAGAAAGUCCAGCCCAAGUGUUACGAACAUCACCAGAUAUAAUUUUCCCAUUUUUGUCUAUUUCGAGUAGCCCAUCUGCUGAUAGUUUCAGCUUUCCAUCUUUAAAUGUUCUCACUUUCUUUAAAACUUCUGCAUUGCUUCCAUAAAUAGAACUUCCAUCCCUUCAUGUACAACUACAUGUUACUUGAUAAGCAUAAUAUUUUAUGUAAAAAUGUAACAUUUUAGUAUGUAAUCUUACCACCAGGGGGUACGCGUGUUCAAAUGACCAGUCUUGAUUUCAUAAAAGCCAGUAGGAAUUUCCUUGGUCUUGAAAAACUUAAAAGACUUUAGUGGGCAUUGACUUGCAACUUCUUUAGGUGCCUUAAGCUCAAUCUGUGCACAAAAUUUACAGUACCAAAAAAGUACAUCACUGAAUUAUUCCCUUCGAAUAAUAUAUUAGGUUUACAUCAUUUGCUCUUACGUCAUACGAUGGUAGUACUCAAAAGAUACUUGUAUGUAACUCUAUUUAAUGCUUAAUUGAUUAGUAUCUAGAAUAAAGGGAAAGUAAUAUGUUAUAAUCUAUUUAUUUAAAAGCACGAAGACCUUUAACAAAAUAUCGUUUGCUUUUUUUAUCUUUUAAAAAUAAAUUUUAUAAUGGACAAAAUAGUCAUUUUGAUUGUUUUCUUAUAUUUAGGAACAAUCAUUAAUUAUUUCCAUAAUAUUUAGGAAUUCGAAAUCGACUAAAUUAUAAUAGCAUUCUUAUAAUAUAAGACUUCUCUAUAACAACAUUCUUAUAUAAUAGUCAUUCACUGUAAAAGACGAGUUUUUCUCGGAACUGGAUAUUAUAUUAUGUUAUAAUAUAUGUCCUCUAUAACAACACUUCACUAUAGCAACCGAAAAAUUUCGGAACAAACGAAGCUGUUAUAGAGAGGUUUGACUGUAGUACAUUUUUUAAUAAGCUAAAUAGUGUCCAACUUUUUGCAAUAAAAAUAUAGAAAUACAAAAAGGGACCUAACUUAAACUAUUUAUAUGGAAUUUUAGUUUUUGUUGUUUUAGAAAGAUAAAAGUAGAAAGAGUUUAAGUUCUAUACACUGACGUUGUAAAGGAUAUUACAUAAUCAAAUUACUCAAAAGGUAAUUGUAUGUAACUUUAUUUAAUGCUUCAUUGAUUAAUUAAUUAGUACCUAGAAUAAAGGGUACGUAACAUGCUAUAAUUGACUAAAAAUACGUUAAUUAUGUAAAAGCUUAAUUAUAAUGUCAGUAUAUAUAACUUAAAUUAGUAAAAAUAAUUUUCCAAAUUUAAAAUAGGAAGUAUAUCGUUAUUAAUUAAAGUCUUUGUCUGAACUCUGACCUGCUUAGUAUCUUCCAAAUGAUCAAUCCAAUCAUGAAUCAUAAACUGAAUCCAAGAAGCAGCAAUCAUGUUAAAUUGUUUUCCUGUGUCCACAAAAUUUCUCCUCGCUAGCAGCUUCGUUGCUACCACCAUUGGGUCUGGCUUCUUUAACUGCAUUUCAUUUUUGAGCUACUUUCAUUAAUAGCACACUAUUAAAAAUAUAAUACAAAAGAUUAGCAUUAAUUAAUGAUUAACAAAUAUGGCAGUAAAAUAUUUAUACAUAUAACAGAUUUAAUUCAAUUCAAAUCAGCAAGAAUCAAGCUGUUUAAAAAAGUAGUCCUAAUAUUUAAUAUAUUUCCCUAUUUUUUUCUCUCCAUUCUAUACCAUGUUUUAUAUUUUUUUUAGAAACCAAUCCAUUCCAUAACAGAUUUUUCCUUUCCAUAUAUGGACCUUUUUAUAUAAUGUAAUAUAGCANNNNNNNNNNNNNNNNNNGAGUGAGAGAAAAGGAAAUGUAGUAAAAAGUGUAUUAAUGUAGAGGGAUCCUUUAGUUAAUGGAGUUAUCAAAAUGAAAGUGCUUAAAAAGUAAAAAAAGAAAAAAAAAAGUGCUAUUUUUGGAAUAAACAAAGUCUACUAUCAUUUAUGAUAAUAAUUUUUAAAAAGGGACCAAGCAUGUAAAAAUCUCUUCAUUAUUUUUUGAGAGGAAAAAAGGAAAAACAGCUUAGAGCCCAUUAUAUACUAAAGUAAUUCUCUUAAUUAUAUGUAUACCUCUACAAAUUAGGUUUGUUGAUUUUGCCUUAACAAAAAUAAAUGCCAAACUCUGAAUUAAUUACUAACUGUACGAAUUUGGUGAGCGUUUAGUUUAUUGAAUAAACACUACAACAUAGACAUCAUUAUGCUUUUAUAUGCAUUAACAAUGUAAAAUGUUUAUAUAAUUAUGUAUAUUGGAGCUAUUGGAGUUGGGGUCACCAAAAGUUCGGCCAAGCUAUAUAUUUAUUCGUAACUAGGCCAGGUCCACUAUUCUUGCAUGGGAUUUUUACAUACUUAUACACUAUUGAAAACUUUAUUACUUUCCUUACUCAAGUUUCAAUUUAAUUACCUCCUAUAUAUAAAUUGAUCAAUUAUAUACAUUUUAGGAAUUAAAUAAGUAUCACUUUAUAUUAGGAAUCAAUUAUUUAUCAUCCUUAUUCUCUCUCCCUCAUGCGCUCUCUCUCUCUACGUCUCUCUUUAUCUCUCAAUCCCUAAUUUCAAUAAUGUAGAACAAAAGAAAAAGAGAGCAGCAAUUCCAUCAUUGACAGCCACUAAAAAGCUGUGAAGCUUUGAAUUCGAAUUUGGAUUUUCAAAAAAUAUUAUUUGUUUCAAUUGGGUGUUAUUGCAAACAAUUAGAAAUUCUCUCUACGUCUCUCUCUAUCUCUCAAUCCCUAAUUCCAGUAAUGUAAAACAAAGGAAAAGAGAGCAGCAAUUCCACAAUUGAUAAUCAUUAAAAAGUUUUGAAGCUUUGAAUUCGAAUUGGGUUUUUAAAAAAUAUUAUUUGUUUGGAUUGGGUGUUGUUGCAAACAAUUGAGAAUAUGGUUUGGAGUUUAUAUCUCAAUUUUGAGGGUGCUUUGGUGAAGAUUAGACUUGAUUUUGGCUGAAUUUCAGAUUGGAACUCGAAGAAGAAAAAGACAUGGCAUACAUUAUACUUACGAAAUUGUAGUAAAAUUGUAUUAUAUUGUUUAUAUAUAUUUUUUUAAUUUAAAUAUUGUAUGAAAGUUGAACAAUAUUGUAUAAAAAUUGUAGUUAAGUUGUAUGUUAUUGUAGUUGUAUAUAACUGGGUAGAAAUAAUAUAUGAAAAUUGUAGAUAAGUUGUAUAAUAUAUAAUUAGUUGUAUAUAUAUGUGGAUUGUAUAUAUUUUGUAACUAAAACGUGUUUAAGUCGGAUAAAUAUCAAAACAUAAAUAUUUUUCGUAAUAAGGUUUCAAAUAAUGUAUAGGUACAUAAAAAGCUAUUCUUUCAUUCUAUAGUAUACUGGUUAAUAGCCCAAGUAGUUAAGUGUUUCUUUUUCUUUUCCAGUUUUGCCCAUGUAUAGAUAGUCGACUGAAUAUUGUAUUGGUCCAUUGGACUAGAAGAUUCAUUCGAGAAAAAAAAGAAGAAGAUGGGUUUUCUCUCCUGAAGCUUUUCUCUUUAGUUCAUAUGAAACCCUAGUAAUAUUCUUCAUCAAUUCUUCGUAAAUUCUCAACGUUAUCAUUAUUAAGUUAUUUAUAAGAUAAUUUAUGAGCUAGAAAAGGGGAGCAAACCCAAAAAGAGCUGUCUUAUUCAACCUAGCUUGUCGUCUGCUAGUUUAACGUAAACCUGUACUCUGUACUCCUUCCGUCUCAUAUCAUCGAUCAUGAUUCUCUUGUACACGUUGUUUAAGAAAAAUUAAUUAGGAUGAGAUUUUGAUUACUUUACUCUUAAUUCAUGUCGUAAUAUUUAAUCUUUCUUCAUUAAUAUUUGAAUAAAGUUAGGUGUAUGUAUAAGUCUUUAAGAAUAAUUAUUACUAAGGGUAAAAAAAGAAAAAGAUAAUCAAUUUUGUCUUGAACUUCUAAAAUGACAAAUAAUUUGAGACAAGUAUUUUUAAUAAUAACGAUUGAUAAUAUAAGUUGGAGGAAGUACUAGUUACUAGCAUCCUAGUGCUCUGGUAGGUUCUUCGCCCCCCCCCCCCCUUUUUUUUUUUUUUUCCGUCUUCAUCUUAGCUUGUGAGUGCACGGCAAAGGAAGUAGAAUUACCAAUAUCUAGAGUCCCAUACCACCAUAACAGCUAGUGAACUAGAAAUGAUCAUUAGCAAGGAAUUGAAAGAGUAACUUCGUCUCCAUACCGUUGCUAUAAUUAAUGCUAUCAAUAUUUACUGCUAUAUAGCCUUUAAGUUAUAAACACUACUAUUGUUUAAAUUAUUUAUAUAAUCAAGCAUGAUACUAUAACCUGGAAAAUAGCGUGUAAUAAAAAACUGCAAUAACAUGUUAUCGAUAUUAGAUUGAUAAUGCAAAGUUCAUCCACCGUAAUGUAUAUAACUUAAACUCAUACAUUAUAUGUUAAUUAUGUCACCUAUAAAAGAUUACUAAACCUAUACAUUCCCCUUCACUGUAGCAGUGGCGGCGUAACGUAUAUAACUUAAACUCAUACAUUAUAUGUUAAUUAUGUCACCUAUAAAAGAUUACUAAACCUAUACAUUCCCCCUCACUGUAGCAGUGGCGGAUGUACAUGGACAUUUAUGGGUGCUUGAGCAUUCAUUAUGUUUAACCAGAUUUAAUAAAUUUACAUAGACAAUUAUAAAAAUAGUUAGAUAAAUAUAGAGUUAGCACCCACAACUAAAUUCCUUUUUUCUCUUCUUUCGAAUUUUUUAUCGGCGAGUACCGAUCACUUUAAAAUUCUGAAUCCGCCACUACACCAUACACCAUAGAGGCAAUUAAUUGCAUAUAAGCAUGGUUUAACUAAUAAUAAAGUCAGUAGCUAUACAAGUAAUCUGCUUAUUUGACUAGCUUAAUUCAGCAAUGGGUGGGUGGGGGCUUAAACCUACCAACUUAGCUUGUGUUGCUCUAAUUAGUAGUAUAGCCUAAGAUUACGAGAUAUUAUGAGCACUGUUGUUUCUAUUGAGCAACUACUGGUCCCCUAAGAAUGGUUUAGGACCAUGCAUGAUGCAAGACAGUGUACGCAAUUAUAAAUUCAAGAGACAAACGUUGUACGUUGCCCACUGUACAUUCAUUUUUUUUUGUCGGGUACAGAAAAUUAUAAUUAGUACUAUUUAGGUAGGUAAAAGUUAUUUUUUUGCCUACGUACUAUGUAUUCAUUUCUCUUGACUUAGUUCGAAUAUUUACUUCUUCUUUUUUAAAAUUUGGAAUCCAGUUUUUUAAUUUUUAACUAUAGAUAUUUUCUCUUGCCAUCUCAAAAUUUAGUCGCUAGCUAAAAUAGUGAUUUAAAAAAUGCAAGUGUUUACUUUCACCGUUACAGUAAACUUCAUCUUCUUAAUUUGUAUAUUUAUUUUUUCCAGUAUCAUGAUGUAUUCUUUCAUUUCUUUUUUUCAUCUAACUUGUUGGAAUAUAUACAUAUAUGAUGUAUUUAUAUUUAGAAAGUAAAUACAUAUAAUAAUCAUACAGAUCUAUUAGUAAGUUUGAACAAAGAAAAGAAGAUUCGAUUAACAAAAUAACAAAACUAAGAACGGAAAAAAUUAAAGUUGCUUUCUAAUAAAAUAAUUGUAUAAAUGACAAUCAUAACUCAAAAUCUGCCAACGAAAUUAAAAUAAAAGAGAGGGCAAACCAAAUUAUAGGUAAAACUCUUAACAUUAAAAAAAAAUGGUGUCGGAAAAGAAAUUAAAGAACAAGUCAAGUUAACCAAUAGUGUGAAAAGGAAAAACUCAAAAAAAUGAUAUAAAUGAAUUUUAUAGAUCGAAUAGGAGGUGGAUAAUUUAGAAGUCAAAUACACAUUGCAUUUCUAAGAUUAUAAUUAUUGGAUAAUUGCUAAAUUUUAAGACAUGAGGGAAAUUAAAGUGGGAAACCAUAUCUAUAAUAACCUCAAAAAAUAAAAAGGGCAAGAGCCUAACUAAUAUACCUGGUUAUGCUGAUGAACAGGUAGCAUAUUCCUCCCAAAAAAUGAAAGUUCACUGCCUGCACCUUCAUUAAAGGGGUCGUUGUAUUUACCGUCGGCAGUUCGAUAAGGGUGAUCGGCCGGAUUUGAUCUGACGCCGACCGGUGUUUUGCCGACGUUGAUCAAAUUGUAUUCCUGAUGCAGAUGCCGCCGCGCUCCAAGAUAAAGCAGCCCCAAGAACACUGGUAGCCGGUGCCAAAGAUUCAGCUUAUCCACGAAAUGAACAAUCUGCAUGCAUGUCACAAUAAUUAAAACGUACAUUACCCAAAAUAUUUUAAAAAAAAAUAAUGAAGCAGAGGAAGAGGUGUGGCAUGCAAGAAGAACAAACUAAAAUACAAUUCCAAACUAGAGGUAAGAGAUUAUUUUAGUAUUAAGUUUGUACUUUAACGUGUAAAGUAUAACAAAAAUUAGAGGAUAGUCCUUCUUUUUUCAACUUUGAUCUUUGUACUUUUUUAAAAAAUAAUAAUACUAGCAAAAAGGACCAAAAGCAGCGCAAAUUUAUCGUAGGAGGCAUUCUUCCCAUUAGUUCAAAAGGUAAAAUCUAGAUUUUUCUGAUGAAGUAAAACAUUACGGCAAUCAAGAAUUAGGGCAGAAUAAUUAACUAAGUGAAAAUUUACCAGAAAAAAAAGCUUGUCCAAGAGAGUCAUUCUCUCAAAGAUAUCAUGGAAAUCUUUGUGGAUGAAACCACGAAGAGGGGAGAGCAAAAGAUUCUUAAGGGAUGCCAUAACCAAAGACAUUGUUUUUUCUAGUUUAUAAUACGAGAAAUAUCACUUUGGAGUAAAUAAGGAGGCAGCAUCCUUUCUAUUUAUAGAAAUAAGUAACAGAAGAAUAAGGCAAGUUCCUAGCAAAAAUAUAACAGACCAUGUUGUAUGCAUGCCUUUGACAAUUCUACAAUUGUAGCCAAACGGAUCAGUUCCACUUGAAAUUUGAGAGGUAGGAAUUAAUACCGUACACGGGAAAAGGACCGCGAAGAGAAAAAUAUCAGACGGAAUAAAAAGAAAAGGUUGAAAAUUAUUUUCAUGUGACGAUAUAUACACUCCCCCUCUGCUCCUCGGGGUAGGGGUAAGAUCUGCGUACAUAUUACCCCCAGACCUCACUUGUGAGAUUAUACUGGGCCGUUAUUAUUGUUGUUGAUAUAUACACUCCCUCCAUUCAAUUUUUGUAUACAGUUUCCUUAUUAGAAAGAAUUACAUAUUUUUAUGUUUGAAAAUAAUUUAAUUUUAAAAUUUAUUUUACCCUUAAUGAGAAACUUUUAGAGACACAUAAAUGUUAUCGUCUUACCCUUUUAAUUUUUUAAGACCAUAAGUUUUAAAACUGUUAAAUAUUUUUUUUUUCUCUUAAUUAAACUCCAUAGUGACUAAAGGUACGUAUAGUUUACCAACUAGUACAAAUGACAACUUCAAUUACGCAUAAAAAAUAAGUACAUUAAACGUGUUGUUUCUUUACGAUGUAGUGUAAUCGAAACUCACGUUGUCUUGCUACAAAAAUAAUUCGCAAUAUACAAUUUAGAUAGUUCUUUUAGUUUUUUUUUCACUUACAAGUUACAGGAUCUAAUCCAACACCUAUAGUUAGCGUAUAUUAUUCAUCCCACCAGAAGCGGACCGACGUAAUGGCUUGAGGGGUCACAUGAACCUGUUAGCCUCGACAAAAAUACAAUAUAUAUGUGUUAUAUAUAUAUAUAUAUAUAUGGAACCCCUUAAAUAUUUAAGGUGUGCCCCUAGACACAAAAAGCGGAUGGAAAAGUGGUUGCAUUUGGCAUUUAAGUUUGCAUCCUUUGCUGGAUGGACGUGGGUUCGAACGUUUCUUCAGCCUUUUAUCCUUUUUGUUUUGGUUCUCGGAAUACAACAGUUUUUAUACUUAAUACUUAGCAACUUGCUUUAUUUUCAACUUUUAUCUUCUUUUUGGAAUUCAACUAUAGCUUGGUACUAAUACAUAAUAGUCAACGUAAUUAGUUUUAUUUUUUUAAAAUACCUACCUUAAAAUUAAAAGCCUCAAAUUACAACUUAUCGCUUCACAAAUAAAAAAAAAAUACAAAUCUUUCUACCACAACCUUCUUCAACCAUGACUCCGACUCGGCAACGGCAACUACGAGUUUGAAACUCUUCUUCAGUUCUUUGACUAUUAACAUAUCCAUAAUCUUGAUUUCUUUAGUAAAUUUUGAUAAUUUAAAGUUUGAACGACCCUUUUGAUUACUCGCCCUUUUUUUAUUAUUAAAAUACUAGAAAUUUAAAGUGUGAAACAUGAUUAAUCAAACACCUUCCCUUUCCAUAGCAUCCAUUUCGCGAAAAAAUCUCUUUUUGUUCAGUGCUUCCUUUUUCUUUAGAACUUCUUUUUGUUUAUACUUGAAUGAUAAGUCAUCACAAUAUUAAGUUUUCAAAGAGUUGUACGCUGAAUUUUAUCGCUAAUGAUUAGCAUACAAUGAUGUCUCCAUCACGCUCAAAUCUUGGGUCCGGCUCUGCAUCCCACCAUAACCCUUUGAUGGUAAGUUUGAGAUGAUUGGUUGCAUAUAUAUGUGACUGAAAGCUUUUGUACAAAUAAUCGCAUAGUUGAGGACUUAAUUAGCUAAAGUCUAAGUGGACGUUUGGAAAUCAGAAUUGUGAAUUCCAAUAAAAGCGAAAAAAAAUUCAAGUUAAAAAUGGUAUUUAGAUAUUGGAGUUGUGUUUGGACAUGAAUACAAAUUAGAAUUGUUUUUAAAUUUUUGUGAGCGGUUUGGAAUGAAAAUUGUGAAAAUAACUUUUUUGAGUUUUACGAAUUCCGAAAAAUUCCGGAAUUCAACUUUAAGUUGGAUUUGAAAUUUUCAUGGCCAAAUACUAAUUUCGAAAAAAGUGAAAGAAAAAAAAAACGAAGAAAAAGUUACAUUUUUUUAUGGGCAAACGGGGCUAAAACCAUUUUUGCAUUAAUAUUUUAAUGUGAGCUGAUCCGCUUUUUCAUUUAAAAUCGGACACUGUCAAUUGUUUAUGACGAUUGAAAGUACGACGUAGACGAAAAAAUUAGACUUCAUAUACUCCCAGUUUAAAAUUGUUUAACUUGGAGAGAAGAAAGAACAAUAAAAUGUAGAAAUGAUAUCAUGUCGUCUGAAUCUCUGUCACCACCCAAUCUAGACUUUUCCAUGAAGAAGUUUUAACUAGGGGUAUUCACGUUUUGACGGAAAAUCGAUCCAAACCGAAAAUCGAACCAAAUCGAUAUUUUUUUUGAUUUGAAUUGAUUUUGGUUUUAAAUUUUAAAACCUAAUAAUAUUUGGUUUGGUAUUGGUUCUAUUUUAAAAAAACCAAAAAAUAAAUCGAACCAAACCGACUAAUUAUAUACAAAAUUUAAUAAUUAUGUAUAUACAAUAUAAUAUCUUUUUGUAAAUAAUUUUAAAUAUUUUAUGCAUUUUAAUUGUUAUUUUGAAUUUUGGUUUAUCCUUUUAUAUCUUAAAAGAUUGCCUAAACCCAAAACAAUAGGACUCGACCAAUUUUCUUUUCAUUAAGAGACUCUAAUUCUCUAACCCUCCGCACAUACUUUUGCCUAACAGAAUAGUUAAAUAAAAAAAAACCACCACAAGAGUAAAGAAAAUAAAUUCAAAUUGCAAGACAACAAUGGCUAAAGCUUGAGAAAGCAAACUUUUAGUUUGAUUUUUGUUCAUUCUUUUCAUAUAAAUAGGUAAAUAAACUUUUAGUUCUGAAAGAAAUAUAUAUAUAUAUAUAAAAAUAUAAAUUUAGCAAAUUAUUUUCAGAUUGUUGUCUAGCGUUGUUUUACUAUUAUCGACUUAUCAUUAGCUUACUAAGAAUCGAAAAACCAAACCAAUAACAAUCAAACCGAUGGUUUGUAUUUAAUUUGGUUUUGUUUUAAAAUUUUAAAAACCGAUUAAAUUGGUUUGGUUUUGGUUUUAAUCAAAAACCGACCAAACCGAACCGUGAACACCCCUAGUUUUAACUACGCAAUUAGGGGUGUACAAGGGAAACCGACAAACUGCACCAUACCGAUAAUCCGAAUCAAACCGAGAAAAAAACCCGACUAUGGUUUGGUUUGGUGUUGUAAAAAAAAACCCGACCAUAAUUGGUUUGGUUUGGUUUUAACUAAAGAAAGUCAAACCGAAACUAAACCAACCCGACAUUAUAUAUAUAGAAAUUAUAUAUAUAUUUAAUAUAUAAAUAUAUUUAUUGUGAUGUAAUUUAUAAAUAUUUCUUAAAAAUUUUCAUAAUUUUAUCUUUUAAGAUAUUAUUUUAAGGUUGGACUUAGGAACUUUUGACUGUUCCAAUAAGUUUUAUAACCAUUAUUAUUAGUAAAUUAAAUAAUGCUAACAAAAGCCCAAACCAAAAUCAAAUCAAUACUAAUGCUAACAAAAGACAUGCAAUUCAAUAGUCAAUACUACGAACGGGAAUGUAUCGAAUAUCUAUUUUUUGUUUUACAAUAAUUUAGAUAAAAAUGCAUAACCUAUUUUUAUAUUUUCUUUAGCGUUUAGUCAUGUAAUUAAUACGCCAUUAUUAGUCUACUUACUUUAGCAUGACUUAGUACUUUUAGAUUAUGUUUAUUUUUAUUAUAAUUUUUUAAUUAGCAAUAUUUAUAUUACAUAAUUUUAUUGUCUUUAUUCUUGAAUAUUUUAGGAUAAUGCCAUGACAUAUCUCAUAUUUUGUAUUNNNNNNNNNNNNNNNNNNNNNNNNNAUAAUGCCAUGACACAUCUCAUAUUUUGUAUUAUUUUCUUGGAAAAUACUUUAUAUAGUUGUAUCUUACUAGGAUUAAAGAAAUAUUUUGAGCACAAGUUAUAUGUUUUGUCUUACGAAGAUUUUACCGGAAAAAAAUUCGAAAAAUCCGAAAACCCGAGAAAACCCGAGAAAAAUCGAGAUUAAAAAAUCCGAGUUUUAUUGGUUUGGUUUGGUCUUUAGAUUUAAUAACCCGACACAAUUGGUUUGGUUGGAUAAUCGUAAAAUCCGAACCAACCCGACCUAUGUACACUCCUAUACGUAAUGUAAUAACAGAGUACAGAAUUUGGUUCUUGGUAUGAAACAUUUGAUUUCUGAUAUUAAAUUCUGCAAUACUAUUUUGUACCGGAUAAAAUGUGAAAGAAUGAAUACUUAAAUAAAAAUAUCUAAAGAAAAGUUGCAUUUGAAUUAAUUAAAUAGUAUUGAAGAGAGACGUAACACGUGACUAUCACGUGAGUCAGUGGGUUAGUUAGGAAAUUAGUUAUAACUAAUUAUGGGAUUGGUUGUUAGUGAAUUAGCAGAAGUAGUAAGACUGAUUAGGCUAGCUGUUAGUCGUAGUGUAUAUACAUUAGACACAUAUCACUGUAUUUAGUUAGAUUAGAGAGAAUACUUUUUCAGCUCAUUUGCUCUCCAAUGGAGCCUUUGUUCUAGAACCUUCUGGUUCAUUUCUCUUCUCUCUUUUCAAUCGAGCUAAUAUUUGAUCUUCAUCAUGGUAUCAGAGCACGGUAGCUAGAUACAUGCUCGUUGUGAUCGAUCUCCUCCGUUUUUUUGUAGAGAUGCUUUGUUGCUGAUUGUUCGAGCUUUUCUUGAUCGAUUAACCUAGGUUUUGUUUUUCUUUUUGAUUUGCAACUAGUGAGUCUGUAAGUCAUUGAAGCGAAGAGUUAAUUCAAUUGAAUAUGUCAACUAUGGCAAUUGGAGAAGAAACUUCAUGUGGAACAAGCACAGGAAUGAUCGUAGAUCAUUACCAUCCUUUGUAUCCACAGCCUUGCGACUCCAGGCAGUUCCUUGAUUUCUAUUCAACUUUAGGAAAGUUUUCCCAGGCUGUAGACAUAGAAGAUAGAACAUCAUUAUUCACCAACAAAAGAAUGAACUCAGGAAAUAACUAAACUAUAAGCCCAUAAGAGGGAAUCUGUUCUGUGAUUACUGCAACUAUAAAGGGCACACAAGAGAUACCUGCUUCAAACUACAUGGAUACCCAGAUGACUUCAAAAUGAGGAAGAAAGCAACAUGCUUUCCUCAAGCUACAGGUUUUCCUCAAAGACCUAUGGCUAAUGCAACUACACAAGAGGGACAACAGUCAAUGACAAAGCAAAUGGCCAAUGUAGCUUCACAAGUAGGACAACAGAUGAUGAACACACCUAUUGCCAAUCUAGCACAAAGAAUGUCAAUCAUGUUCACUCAGAAGCAAUACGAUUAGAUCUUAAAGUUGAUCGAUAAGGACACAGGUAAAAACACAAAAGACUCUGCAGGUACAACAAAGACUUUUGUCACAAAUGAAUCAGUUAAAAAUGAGAAUUGGAUAGUAGACUCUGGUGCAACCAAUCAUAUGGUUCACACUAGAGAGCUACUUGACAAGAUAAACACAGGUAGUUUAGGCAAUGCACCAAAGAUAUACUUACUUGAUGGGACCUCACUUGAUGUUGAAUGUACAAGAGAGAGUAUAAUUGGUGAAAAUAUUGUUGUUAUGUUCUGUAUAUUCCAAACUUUAAAUUUAACAUGCUAUCUGUGUCCAAGCUUACAAGGGACUUAAGAUGUUUUAUAUCCUUUUAUCCUGAUUUUUGAAUAAUGCAUGAAUUUCACAUUAGGAAGGUGAAGGGGGUUGGUAAGGAGCUGGAGGGUUUGUACAACUUGCAGCAUCAGAAAUUUGAAGCCAGGGCUGCAGUUGUACACCUUCAGGAUCAUUCCAUACAAGAGAAGGAUUUGAAAGUAUGGCAUGGAAGGCUUGGGCAUGCUCGAGAUAGAGUGGUAAAAUAGAUUCCAAACAUGAAGUUCAAAGCUAGUAGUGAUGGAAUAAAGGAAUGCAUAAUCUGUCUUUUGGCUAGACAAGGCAGAUUGCCUUUUCCAAAGAGUAUAAACAGAUCAAGUAAACCUUUUUAGUUGAUUUAUGUAGAUGUAUGGGGUCCAUAUAGAGUACAAACUCAUACUGGAGAUAGAUUUUUCCUUCUGUAGUUGUUGACUAUAGUAGAAUGAUAUGGAUUUACUUGUUGAGGCUUAAGAGUCAUGCGGUUGUAUGUUUGAGAUAAUUUCUAGCCUUAAUAAAAACUCAAUUUGAUGUGACUGUGAAAAUUUUGAGGAGUGAUAAUGGAUCUGAAUUUUUUAAUUCUGAAUGCAAUGGUUUGUUUCAUUCUUAUGGAAUGAUCCACCAAAGUUCUUGCGUCUACACCCCACAGCAAAAUAGAGUAUUGAAAAGAAAGCAAAGGCACAUAUUGGAAGUGGCUAGGGCCAUUAGAUUGCAAGGCUUUUUGCCUCUCAAACUUUGGGGGGAAUAUGUACAGGCAGUUGUUUAUAUGAUAAAUAGACUGCCUCUAUCAGGAAAGUCAUCCUUUGAGGUGUUGUAUGGGAGAACACCAUCUCUGCAGUAUAUGAGAAUCAUAGGGUGUUUUUGUUUUUCUAAGAUAGUAGGAGAAGGAGACAAGUUUGCAACUAGAUCAAUUGGAGCUGUGUUGAUGGAAUACUCUUCAUCCUAAAAGGGUUACAGGCUGUAUAAUAUUUUAACUAACUCUUUCUUUGUCAGCGGGGAUGUCAAGUUUAUGGAACAUAUCUUCCCAUUACAAUUACUUAAGGAAGAAAAUUUACAGCUCUUUCCUAAUGGUGUGCUAGACUCUCCAGCCAUUACGGAUGCAAUGCCACAUCACAGUGCAGAUAUCACAGAACCAGCAGGAUCACCAGAUGAUGACACACCCUUUUCAGCAACACCACCUAUUGUAGAUAACAAUGCUGCUGAUACAAAACGUCAUCACCAUAUUCCCUGCCCCUUGAAGACACACAAACUCAGCAACUACUUCCUUCCGAACAAGACACAUUUGUUCCUGUAGAAAAUCAGCUCAGAAAAUCAGCUAGGACUUCUAAGGAACCUGUGUGGAUGCAUAAUUAUGUCUACAAACAACAUCAGCUAGCAAAUAGCUUUGCAAGUAUCCAAUGUAAAACUAUUUAAGCCAUGUAGGAGUAUCAACUAAAUACCAGUCUUAUUUGUCCAACAUUACCAGCGUUAAGGAGCCUGUGAACUAUGAGGAAGCUGCAUCAGACCCCAAAUGGAUUGAUGCUAUGACUCAAGAGCUGAAUGCACUUAAGGAAAAUGGGACUUGGACCUUGGUAGACUUACCAACAGGGAAGACUCCUAUUGGAUGUAAAUGGAUGUUCAAGAUAAAGUAUAAGGCCAAUGGGGAGAUUGAAAGAUACAAGGCACGGCUAGUAGCCAAAGGAUACAAUCAAAUAGAAGGGCUAGAUUACCAAGGAACAUUCUCUCCUGUAGUCAAGAUGGUGACAAUAAGAGUGGUUCUAGCUUUGGCAGCAGCAAACAAUUGAAAUCUACAUCAAAUGGAUGUUUAUAAUGCAUUUCUACAAGAAGACCUCAUUAAAGAGGUCUAUAUAUGUUUACCUCAGGGAUUUCCUAGUCAGGUGGAGAAAGUAUGCAGGCUGCAUAAAUUUCUGUAUGGUCUAAUACAAACUUCAAGACAAUAGAACCUAAAAUUAACUGAGACACUACUCAAUUCAGGUUUUGUGCAGAGUCACUUUGAUUACUCUUUGUUCACAAAGAAGCAAGGGACAAAACUAGUAAUCAUCUUAGUGUAUGUAGAUGAUCUUCUCAUAACUGAAAAUGAUGAAGGAGAGAUCUCUGAAGGUAAAAGCCAUACUACAGAGUAAUUUCAAAAUCAAAAACUUGUGGGAAUUAAAGUUCUUCCUUGGGAUUUAGAUAGCAAGGUCCAAAGAAGGAAUACUGAUGAAUCAAAGGAAGUUUGUAAUGGAGUUAAUUGCUGAACUUGGAUUAGCAUGGUCAAAACCAGUGGCCACACCAAUGGAAUACAACCAGAGAUUCACCACUGUGGAGUAUGAUCAUCAUAUGAACUAUAAAGAAGAUGAGAAACUGGCAGACUCAGGACCAUAUCAGAGAUUAGUUGGGAAACUAUUGUAUCUUACCAUGACUAGACCAGAUAUAUAUGCUAUGCAGUUCAUGUACUAAGUUAGUUCACACUGUCCAAAGAAAUCACACAUGGAAGCUGCAGUCAGGGUUGUUAGAUAUAUUAAAGGUGCUCUACGACUGUGGUUGCUAAUGAGCUAUAAAUAGUCCACAAAGCUCACAACCUUUUGUGAUGCUGAUUGGGCAUCAUGCCCAGUUUUUAGGAGAUCAGUAACAUGAUAUGUAAUGAAAUUGGGAGAUUCAUUACUGUUAUGGAAAUCGAAAGAAACAAUGCACAAUCACGAGAAGCUCGACAGAGGAAGAAUACAUGAGCAUGGCAGCAGGAGUUGCAGAAAUCUUAUGGUUGACAGGACUUUGUAAAAAAUUGGGUGCAAAAGUUGAACUGCCAGUGGAGCUGCACGGUGGCGACAAAGCAGCAAUUCAAAUUGUUGCAAAUCCCAUAUUUCAUGAGCGUACAAAGGAUAGACCUACACUUCAUCAGAGAAAGGAUUCAACAAGGGAUAGUCAGAACCAAAUAUGUGAUGUCUAAGGAUCAAGAAGCAGAUCUGUUCACAAAGGCACUGGGGAGAUCACAACACGAGUACUUGAUGAGCAAGCUAGGAGUGCUCAAUCUAUUUGUACCACCUAGCUUGAGGGGGAGUAUUGAAGAGAGAAGCAGCACGUGACUAUCACGUGAGUCAGUGAGUUAGUUAAUAAAUUAGUUAGGAUGUUAAUUAUAACUAAUUAUGGGAUUGGUUGUUAGUGAAGUAGCAGAAGUAUUAAGAUUGAUUAUGCUAGCUCUUAGUCGUAGUGUAUAUAUAUUAGACACGUGUCAUUGUAUUCAGUUAGCAGAUUAGAGAGAAUAAUUUUUCAGCUCAUUUGCUCUCCAAUGGAGCCUUUGUUCCAGAAUCUUCUAGUUCAUUUUUCUUCUCUCUUCUCAAUCGAGCUAAUUCUAGUUCAUUUUUCAGCUCAUUUGCUCUCCAAUUUUUCAGCUCAUCAAAUAGGUCUUAACCGCAUCACAAUGCAUAUAUAUAUAUAUAUAUAUCAUGAAAUUCAUAACAAAUGACAGUAUAACAAUUAUCUGUUUUUUUUUACAGAUAAAUCACACUGUUUUUUUUUUACAGAUAAAUCACACUUAUUUAUUAGGUCUGAGCCCACGUACAUACCCGUCACUUUCGCUUUCAUGCAGAAAUAGCAGUUGAUUCAGAAAAAAUUUAAAUGACUAUUGUUACGUGCUCAGACUAUUCUUAAGGGGUGCGUUUUAAAAUAUGCAGUAGUACUUUUCAUUUCCAUUUUCUGAUCAAGUUUUUCAACAUAAGCCAUCUCCACUUAUUUUAAAGUUGAAUUGCCUAACACGAUACAUAAAAGUAAUAAAACAAUGAAUAAUUUGAUCUCAUAACAAUUUAACCAAGUAGAAAAACUUGCUCCAAUCUAAUUGUUUUUUAAGAAAAAACAUUUUCCUACUCUAAUAAAAAUCUACAGUAUAAAUUUCAAUUUUCACUAUUACAACUAACAUCGAUCGACUUUGCAAAUAUAAACAGAUAAGUUGAAGAAGACAGAUAGCGAGUUCCAGAAGAGAGUCCAUACUUGGGUUGUUAAAUAAGAAAAACAAAAGACAAAAAUAUAUAAAAACUUAAAUGCCAAAAUACCGUCAAUAUCUUUAUCCUACUUUGCAGCCAAGCUUUUAUUUCUUUAAAAACGUCUAAUCAUUCAUGAAUUAUAUUCUUUUAAUUUACAUAUGGAUAUAUACCUGCUCAAUUUAGACUUUUCUAAGAUAACUAAACAAAGCCAACGAAUACUUUGGCCUGAUAGUAAUGUCAUCAAGAGAUUUGUGUAGCUAAUUAUUUUGUUAGUGUUCUCAUAUUAACGUAUGUUUAAAGGUAUUGAUUAUAUUGGUUUAAAAAAGACAGAAAAAUAAUCUCGAUAGGUUGCUAAAACGACUGUAAUGAAAUAUGAUAGAAACACAAUCACAGAGAAAAUAUCAGUCGUCUAGACUAGUAUCAUUGGAGCAAAUGCCAAUGGAUAUAAUUUUUUCAAGGUAUCCAGAUCAACUAGAAUAUAUUCUAUUUUAUAGAAUACAAUGACUUUGGUCAAUAUUUUGAAAUAUUAAUAUUCUAAAAUUCGAGGCCAACAAGUAGUCAUCAAUUUCCCUUCUUCACAAAUUUUUUCAUUCAAAGUCGUGUACGACGCCAUUUGGAUGGUGGCUCAAUAUGAAUUUUGCGCUUACAACUUUAAUUUACACGGAUGAAUUUUGAACUUUCGUGUUAUCAAACUCAUCCAUUGAAAAGUUAAUAUACUAGUUGUAAUUAUUUUAUUUUUCUUGAAGGAAAAAAAAUACCUUGGCACAUUGCACCAAUCGUCAAUUUUGAGGAUUAGUAUUUGACCAAGAAAAUUAUUUGAAAUGCAUAGGAAUCCAAAAGAAUGCCAACUGUAUAUUAAAAUGUCAAUAAUUCCACUAAACAAAAAAACAAAAAACAAAAAACAAAAGAGGGUCUAUUUGUGUUGUGGUGGAUAAGCUUCCUGACAUAUAACAUGUGUUUUUUUUAAUAUUAAAGAAACUCGUUUUACGUUUUUAUAAUUUGACAACAAGAGUACAUAAAUAGGGAAUGCAUUUGUUUGUAGAGAUUUCUUAAAAUUUUAAUGUUUUGACUUUUGAUAUGUAUAUAUUAGGGCAAAAAUCACUUUUACCCCACGAGCGAAACUAUUUACAUCGGGUAGUUGCGAAAGUAUAUAAAAUUUGUAUAUAUUUUGUAUAUAACAUACAAAAAUAUAUAUAUAUAUACAAAAAAAUAUACAAUUGUACGACUAUUGUUUUGGAGCGGCUAUACAAUAUCAUUUUCCUGUAUAUUAAGGUGAUUGAAGUACAGAAGGAAUUGUUACCUUUUUAAUUAUCCCUAAUUAAGUCAUCUUACCUUUUAAAGCAUAUUUAAAUAUAUAUUAUAAACAUAGAAAUUGUUUGCAUAUAGACGUUCAUCGUAAUUUAUGUAAAUAAAAAUUAUAUAGUUAGUUAUUGUGUACUUUGGUUAUUAAAGUUUGAAUGGAUAAUGAAAAUAAUUUUUACUUGAUUAGGAACUGUGCGAAGGGUGAUAAUGUUUACCCAAUCAUUUUAGCUGGUCGGUUUUGGGAAAUAAAUCAACACUUUUUUAGAAUUCUUGUAACUUUCAAUCAAUCACAAAUAAGAAUUUUAGUUUAUUGUACAAGCAUAUUAGUACGACGUACAACGUAAUCACAUUUUAUCCAAAAAAAAAAAACGCACAUUUUUUUCAAGAUAUCUGAAUACGACUUUAAAUAUUAAGAUAUGCUCUAUAAAUAAAUAUUGUCGUCAAUUCUGGAAAUUCUUGUGGAGUUGCCUUAAUUGAGAAAAGCGCUCGUACAGAGAAUUUUUGUUACCAUGCCAAGACCAAGAGUUUAAGUUUUUCAACUUAAGAUUUUUUUUUUUUCGAUAACAUUCACUAAAGUAAUUGAUCACUUUUUCAACCAACGAUAUAUUCGGCAAAAAUCACUAAACUAAUUUUUGUCAUUCAAAAUCACUAAUCUUGUAAUGGAUAGUUAAAAAAAUAAAUUUGUUCAGGAAGAUUCUGUUCAAUUGUGAUUAGCAAAGCCUUACCUGUUUAUAAUUAGUGAUUUAGAGAUGUAUGAGCUGUUCUAGCUAAAAACUAAAUGGGCCUAUAUAUCUAAGGUAGGGGGUAUGCUGCUUCUUUUCCUUUGAAGAAUUAACACAAAUGCCCACCCAAUCACUUAAAAGGGAGUUUUUCCUAUAUAUACUAUGAUAAGAACUUAUUAAUUUAUUUUCUUUAGAUUUUGUAGUUUUUAAAAAGUAUCUAGGUUUUUCUUACAAAUUGUAUACAUUUCUCCCUUAAAAAUCUUUCAUCCCAUUAUUAAUGCCUUUAAUUAAGGGAUUCAAUUUUGGUGUUAGCUAAAUUAUUGUUAUUUUGCUUCGCAAUAGUUAAACCUUUCAACUAGGAUACUAGUUACCACUUGUUUCCUUCUAGUUUGAUUUGUAUACGUUGUGCACUAGCGAGUCUUCUCUAGAUUGUUGUAGGUGUAGUGGUUGCAUUCUGGGAUGAUAGAAUAAGGGCAUGUCCUCGGAUGGGGCAGAGUGUGGGGCNNNNNNNNNNNNNNNNNNNNNNNNNNNNNNNNNNNNNNNNNNNNNNNNNNNNNNNNNNNNNNNNNNNNNNNNNNNNNNNNNNNNNNNNNNNNNNNNNNNNNNNNNNNNNNNNNNNNNNNNNNNNNNNNNNNNNNNNNNNNNNNNNNNNNNNNNNNNNNNNNNNNNNNNNNNNNNNNNNNNNNNNNNNNNGGAAUAUCUACGGGCCACAAUGGUGGCCACAAAGGAGAUUGGUGGUGGAAUGCAGUUUUCCAAGGUAAAGUGGAAGCAAAGAAGGCGGCUUAACUGCGGUUAGUAGGGAGCGCUAACGAGGAGGAGAAGAGAGAGAACGGUCAAAGGUAUAAGGUAGCUAGGAAGGAGGCGAAGAUGGCAGUGAUGGAGGCUAAGAUGACAGCUUUUGCUCGUCUGUAUGAGGAACUAAGGAACAAAGGUGGGGAGAAGAAGUUAUUCCGACUCGCUAAGGCGAAAGAGAGAGGACAACUCGGGAUCUAGACCAAGUGAGGUGCAUAAAAGAUGAUGACGACAAAGUUUUGAUGGGAGAUGACCAGAUUAAGAGGCGGUGGCAGACCUAUUUUCAUAAACUUCUAAGUGAAGAAGGGGAUCAGGAUAUUAUACUUGGGGAAUCGAGGAAUGCCGACAGUCACCAUGAAUUAAGUAAUUGUAGGGACAUUGAGAUCGAUGAAGUCAUGGAGGCAAUGCGUAAGAUGAGAAGGGGCAUAGCUAUCGGGCCAAACGAAAUUCCAGUUGAGCUGUGGAAGUGUGUGGGUAGAGCAGGCUUGGAAUGGCUUACUGCAUUGUUUAGUGUUAUAUUCAAGACUAAUAGGAUGCCUGAAGAGUGGAGGUGGAGUACAAUGGUCUCGUUGUAUAGGAACAAAGGUGAUGUCCAGAGCUGUAACAACUAUAGGGGCAUCAAAUUACUAAGUCAUACUAUGAAAGUUUGGGAGAGAGUGGUAGAAAUGAGAGUGCGAAGGACGGUGUCUAUUUUAGACAACCAGUUCGGGUUCAUGCCGGGACGAUCUACCACGGAAGCUAUCCACAUUAUUAGGAGGAUGUUGGAACAGUACAGGGAUAGGAAGAAGGAUCUCCACAUGGUGUUUAUUGAUCUGGAAAAAGCGAACGAUAGGGUUCCUAGGGAGGUCUUAUGGAGCUGCUUAGAGGAUAAAAGGGUCCCGAUUGACUAUAUUAGGGUGAUUAAAGACAUGUAUGAUGGAUCUAAGACUCGGGUUAGGAUAGUAAGAGGCGACUCUGAACACUUUCCAGUUAUUACGGGGUUGCACCAAGGGUCUGCGCUCAGCCCAUUCCUAUUUGCCCUGGUGAUAGAUGCACUGACUCAUAUUCAAGGGGAGGUGCCAUGGUGCAUGAUAUUUGCUGAUGACAUUAUUCUAAUUGACGAGACACGAGGCGGCGUCAACGAGAGGCUAGAGAUUUGGAGACAUGCUCUUGAGUCUAAAGGUUUCAAGUUGAGCAGGACGAAGACAGAAUACCUCGAGUGCAAAUUUGGAGUUGAGCCGACGGAAGCGGGAGUUGAAGUGAGGCUUGACUCUCAAGUCAUUCCCAAGAGGUGUAUUUUCAAGUACCUUAGAUCGGUUAUUCAGGGGAUCGGGGAGAUUGACGAGGAUGUCACACACCGUAUAGGGGUGGGGUGGAUGAAGUGGCGGUUAGCGUCGGGAGUCUUGUGUGACAAGAAAGUGCCACCGUUACUAAAAGGUAAGUUUCAGCAGUGGUUAGGCCUGCCAUGUUAUAUGGAACUGAAUGUUGGCCGGUAAAUAACUCACACAUCCAGAAGGUGAAAGUAGCAGAGAUGAGGAUGUUGAGGUGGAUGUGCGGGCAUACAAGGAUGGAUAGGAUUAGGAAUGAAGAUAUUCGAGAGAAGGUGGGGGUGGCCCCCAUGGAGGACAAAAUGUGGGAAGUAAGACUCAGAUGGUUCGGGCACAUUCAGAUGAGGAGCACUGAUGCACCGGUGAGGAGGUGUGAGCGACUGGCUGUAGUGGGCAUGCGGAGAGGUAGAUGACGACCUAAGAAGUAUUGGGGAGAGGUGAUCAGACAUGACAUGGCGCGACUUAGGAUUACUGAGGACAUGGCCUUUGACAGGGAAUUAUGGAGGUCGUGCAUUAAGGUUGUAGGUUAGGGGAGAGUUAUGAAUAUUUCUACAGCACAAUAGAGUGAAACUAGCCAGUUAGGAGUUAGACUAAGAAUGUCAUUGGUCGUCUAUUGAUGCUGGGCUUUACCUGCUAGUUUUACUAUACCAGUCAUCUAUUUCGUAUUUCGUAUUCUGUAUUUCAUAUCUCUUAUUAUGCUGUUAUUUUAUUAUGCAUUUUUAUGGUACUAAUAUAUCGGCUCCUGUUGCUUUUUUUGAGCCGAGGGUCUCCUGGAAACAGCCUCUCUACCCUUCGGGGUAGGGGUAAGGUCUGCGUACAUACUACCCUCCCCAGACCCCACUUGUGGGAUUUAUACUGGGUUGUUGUUGUUGUUGUUGUUGUUGUUGUUGUUGUUGUUGUUGUUGUUGUAAUUAAGGGAUUCAAUUAUAUCCUUUCCUUUUUUUCACAUUUCUCCUCAUUUCAUGCUUCCUAAUUCUUUCAAUAUACAUAUCUCCUCUUAUCUCUCUCUUCAAUUGUCACGAUCCCAAAUACCCGGUCGUGAUGGCGCCUACCACAUUAAUAGGCAAGCCAACCCAAAUCAUUAACCACAAUAAGUUCCUUUUAUAAAACCAUUUUCUAACACAGGUUUAGAUACCAAAUUUUCAUAAUAAGUGUUUAAAACACAAUUACAUACGCGGAAUGUCAAAUAAACAUGAAAACUACACAGCCCUGAAUAUCUGGUGUCACGAGUCUAGAGCCCUUACGACAUAACUGACUGUCUGAUACAACAUAAGUCUAGAAAAUAUGGAAAAGAACAAGAUAAGAAGGAGAAAACAGGGUUGCGGAUGCCAUGCAACUACCUUGAAAUCUCCGGCAACCUCUGGAUCAGUUGAGGACCCUCACUCUGCCACUCGGGCACCUGGAGCUACACACAAGGUGCAGGGAGUAAUGUGAGUACGCCAACUCAGUAAGUAACUAAAGUAAAUAAGGUCUGAAAGCAGUGACGAGCAGUUAAAAUCAUAUAACUGAAGAAACAACAGGAUAACAGGUCAAUUUCACAGUUUAAAACAAGUUUCGUCGUAAAAUCAUCAAAUUUCAGUUUAAACACUUGAAAUCAUAUACAUAGAAAUUUUUCCAAUAGAGGCUUAAUUUAAAAAAAAAGUGAAAUCAGUAAAAAUAUCAUAACUGGGCCCCUCCAGCAAGGUAUCACUCAGAAUAUAGCCUCUCGGGCAGUGUGAUGACCUUGUUUUUAAAUUGAAUUCUGCGUUCUGAGGCCUUAAAAACCUCUUUUAGCAUUACCUCAAUUUGUAUGCGCAGUCCGGACACGUAGCCGAAAAGCUUAUAUGUCAAAAUCUGUGAAAAAUGAUAAAUUUUAACUAUAAAAUAAAUUAAUUUGACUUCGGUCAAUGUUUUAGGUAAACGGACCCGGACCCGUGAUUUUAUGGUCCCUGAGGGUCCGUAGAAAAAUAUGGGACUUGGGUGUAUGCUUGGAAUCGAAUUCCGAGGUCCCAAGUCCGAGAAAAGAAUUUUUAAAGAAAAUUAUUUUAUGAAAUUAUUUAAAGGAUUUAAAAAUGAAUUUUGAUUAGAACAUAUUGUUAUCGGGCCCGUAUUUUGGUUUCGAUGUCCGGUACAGGUCUUAUAUGUGAUUUAAGAUAAUUUUGUGAAGUUUCGUAAGAAAGGUAAUCUGUCUGACGUGAUUCGGACCUUAAAUGCAAAAUUUGAUGUUUUAAGAAGUUUUGAAAUAUUUCAUUGAUUUUGAGGUUUAAUUCGUUGUUUAAGGGGUUAAUUUGGCGAUUUGAUCGCACGGAUAAGUUUAUAUGAUAUUUUUGAGUAAGUACAUAUGUUUGGUUUGGAGCCCCGAGGGCUCGGGUGUGUUUCGGAUGUGUUUCGAAAGGUUUUUGAACUCAUAAAAGUUGCAGGUUUUUUUGAUGUUCAAUGCCCAGGGAUUUUUCUUUUCGCGUUCGCGUGGGCACACUCGCGAACGCGUAAGGCAAAUCUCCCAGGUGCCAAAUUUCUUCUUCGCGAACGCGAAGCUGGUGACGUGAACGCGAGGCUAAGGGGGGAUACCCUUCGCGAACACGACCCAGCAUACGCGAACGCGAUGGCUUAUGAGCCUGGGCAGAGGGUAUUAUACCUACGCGAACGCGAACGCGAAGACUCGAGGAGUUAGUUCUUCGCGAACGCGAGCCCAUUUCCGUGAACGCGAAGGUCUCUUAGGCCUAGCUCAUCGCGAACGCAUAGGGCAAAUUUGUCCAGUUAUUCUAAGUUCCUAAAACAUAAUGUAUUACGGGAAUUCCACCAUUUUUCAUAAAUUUCAUCUUCUCCACACCUCUUGGGCAAUUUAUGAAGAGGAACAUCACCAUAGCUUCAUAGAUAUGUAAUCCUAAGCUCGUUUUCUUCCAUUUUUAUCAACACCCACUAGAUUUCUAAGCCUAAAACAUGAGAUUAAGGGUAGAAAAUUAGGGAUUUGGGUAGAGUUAGGGCUUUUUGAUUAUUUGGGAAUUUGACCUGGUUUUGGGGUCGGAUUUCAAAACAAAAUAUAUAUUCGGGCUCGUGGGUGAAUGGGUGAUCGGAUUUUGGUCCGAACCUAGUAUUUUGACCAAGCGGGCCCGGGUCAAUUUUUGACUUUUUGGAAAAAAUAAUGGGAAAGCUAUAAUUAAACAUUGGAAUUGGAUUAUUUAGUGUUUAUUGAUGUUAUUAAGUCGAUUAUGUCUAGAUACAAUUGAUUUGGAGUCAAAAUCAAAAGGAAAGGCGGUAUUUGAAGCUUGAGUUGGCCGUGAAAGUUCGAGGUAAGUGUUCGGUCUAACCUUAGCUUGAGGGACUAGGAGUUGUGUCCUAUUUGCUAUUUGCUUCUUGUUGAGUAUGACAUAUAUGCAUGAUGACAAUUAUCUAUACGUUGGUGUCGAGCAUGACCGUGAGUCUUAAAUUGCAAUUUAUUUUGUGUUCUUAAAUAGUACUACGGAUGCUUUAAUUGAUGAUUCUCGAUAUUGAGCAAGGAUUAAGUUUGUUUUCGUGGAACUUACUUAUGAUUGAGUAUUGGUGUUAGCUGAGAUGAGUAGAAGUUGGGUUAAGAUUGGUUAUAGGUGUUUCUCCCUUGCCGGGACGUAUUUACUUUUAUUGUCGAAUCCCUUGCCGGGAUAGUGUAGCUUAUUAUUGAUCCCUUACCGAGACUCUUGGUAUGGUUGUUGCUAAAGGUAUAUAAAUGUUAUGUUGGAUCGAGUUGCACGCCGCAAUAUUACUAUAUAUGGAACGGGUUGCACGCCGCAAAAUUGUUAUGUUGGAUCGGGUUGCACGCCGCAACAAUACUAUAUAUGGAACGGGUUGCACCCCGCAACAAUGUUAUGUUGGAUUGGGUUGCACGCCGCAACGAUGUUAUUUUGGAUCGGGUUGCACGUCGCAACAAUGAUAUAAAUGGAUCGGGUUGCACGCCGCAACAGUGUUAAAUGAUAGGGAUCGGGUUGUGUGCCGCAAUAGAGUUAUUAUGGUUUUGUUGUAAAUCUUAAAUUGUUCUCUCAUAUUUCUCUUAAGUUUCUGAUGGAUUCGAUAUUUUCCCCGUAGCAUGUACCCCUCCUAUGUUAAUUGUUUAUUCAGUUCUAUUUUCCGUUGUAUAUUAUAUAACUGCACAGGUUUAUCCGGAGUCUGGUCCUAGCCUCGUCACUACCUCGCAGGGGUUAGGCCAGACACUUAUCAGCACAUGGGGUUGGUUAUGCUGAUGCUACACUCUGCACUAUGUGCAGAUUCCGGAGCAGAUUUUGGACAGUAGCACUUGGGGAGCCUGCCUUCAGUCCAGCCAGAGAUCCCGAGGUAGUCCUGCAGGCGUCCGCGCGCCCGGCGUUCUCUUCUACUUUAUUAUGUAUUUUGUUUUCAUUAGAUUUCGAGACAGAUUGUAUUUCUUUUAGACAUUUGUUGUAAUAAUCUUAGUCCGUCCGUGAUAUUUUGAUAUCGAAUUCCGGGUAGAGAUUGUGUGUUGUCACUAUCGUACUGGUCUUGGUUAUUAUAUUAGAUUAAGUCUUCCGCUUGAUCUUGAUUUCAUUUAUCGUUAAUAUCUAAAUGUUGGAUAUCUGUUAAUUCAGAUUGUUAAAAAAGGUUAAAAUGAAAGAGUUAGAAAUUUUCUAUGUUUAGUGUCUUGCCUAGCUUCUACGAGCAGGCGCGCAGCCCGAUCCAAUAUAUAUAUAUANNNNNNNNNNNNNNNNNNNNNNNNNAAUAUAUACAUAUAAUAUCUUCACUAUUAGGUUCUUAACCUCUCUCAGUCAUUAACCUCACAGCCUCUCAAGCACAAUAAUAGAAAUUAAGGAACUCAACCCAAAAAGACCUCAUAAUUAGAAGUGGAGUGAUAAAACCAGUUUUAAACAUUUAAACAGGUAAAAUAUGACUGAGGAUAUGCUUUCGACAAGUAGAGUGAGGAAAAACAGUAAAAAUGCCCCUAAGGGUCUCAACAGGUCGGCACAAAGCCCCAGACAUGGCAUACAUCCCAUAAUAUAGUAUAAAUAGCUAAAGUGCGGAAUAUCAUAAGGUUCCAAAUCAAACACGCGGCUUAAUAGUCGCUACGGGAUGGACCAAGUCACAAUCUCUACGGGUGCACGCCCACACGCUCGUCACCUAGCAUGUGUGUCACCGUAUUUAUCAAAACAAGUAAAAUACCGGGGUUUGUACCCUCAGUUCCAGAUUUAUAAUGGUACCUCAAACCGGUGAAAAUAAUACUCUGUGACGCCUUUUCCCCUUGAAUCAGCCUCCACUCGAGUCGAGUCUAUCCAAAAUCAGUAUCACGACAUCAAAAUAUGCUAAGAGAACGAAGCCCAAGCGAAAAUAAUCAAAUAAUACCAAAAAUUCCGAAAUUACCAAAACCCGACCUCUGGGCCCAUGUCUCAGAAUUCGAUAAUUUUUACAUUAAUAUAUUCCUCAUCUCUUCACGAGUUCAUAUAUAUCUAAAGUUCUGAAAUCCGACCUCAAAUGAUCCUUCAAAUCCUCAAGCAAAUGUCUAAGUUUCAAAGCCCUAGUUUCCCCAAUUUUUGCCCUUAAAUUCCAUUAAUCAUCGCACUAAUCUAUGAAAUAAUAGCAUAGGAACGAGUUUUAGGUCCAAAUUCCUUACCUCAACGAAGUUCCUUAGAAAUUCCUCUUUCAAAUCGCCCAAAAAGCUCCAAUGCCAAGAUAGAAAUGGUGAAAAUAGCUCAAAAUCGCGAAGGCCACAAUUUAUACCUUCUGCCCAGGUAUUUUCGCAUCUGCGGCCCUAUUCACCGCUUCUGCGGUACCACAUAUGCGGCCAAUUAACCGCUUCUGCAGUUCUUCACUUAACGGCCAAAACCGCUCCUGUGAUCAACAUUUCGCACUUGCGCCUUCGCAGGUGCGGUCCAUCAACCGCAUAUGUGGUCCCUGCCUUCCCAUGCAUUUCCGCUUCUGCGACCUUCCUUAUCGCACCUGCGGCAUCGCACCUACGGUCCCCAAUCCGCAGGUGCAAAAAUACCAGAAGCAACAAAUUUAGCAGCUGCAACAAAGUUUCAAACUCCCCGUCAACCAGCCGAAAUAACCUCGAGGCCCGCGGGAUCUCAACCAAAGGCACCAAAAUAUCCCAAAACCUUAUUCAAACUUGUACCAAUCUUCAAAACACCUCAAAUAACAUCAAAUCGACCAAAACACAUCGGAUUCAAGACUAAUUUUCCAAAAACUUCUAAAUUCUGCUUUUGAUCAAAAACCCGACCAAACCACGUUCGAAUGACCUAAAAUUUUGCACACGUCCCAAAUGAUACCACAAAACUAUUGCAACUCUUGGAAUUCCAUUCCGACUCCUACAUCAAAAUCUCACAUAUCAACCGGAAAUUGCCAAAAAUUCGAUUUCGCCAAUUUAAGCCUAAAUUACUCCGAACCUCCAAAACUCAUUCCGAUCACGCUCCUAAGUCCCAAAUCACCUCCCGAAGCUGACCAAACAAUUGAAACUCACAUCCGAGCCCUCUAACACACAAGCCAACAUCCGAUUGACUUUUCCAACUUAAACUCACUCUAAAGAGACUAAGUGCCUCAAACCUUACCAAAUCCUUUUCGAAAUCGAUCCGUCAACCUCGAUAUCACAUAACACGGAUAAACAAAGCAUAAAGAAGUAGAAAUAGGAAAAACGGAGCUGUAACUCAUGAGACGACUGGCCGGGUCGUCACAUCCUUCCCAACUUAAACAAACGUUCGUCCUCGAACGAGUCAAGAAACAUACCUGAAGCCUCAAACAGGUGAGGAUAUCUGCUCCACAUCUCCCGCUCGGUCUCCUAGGUAGCCUCCUCCACUGGCCGACCUCACCACUGCACUUUCACCGAAGCUAUAUCCUUUGACCUCAACUUUCGAACCUGACGACCCAAAAUAGCUAUUGGAUCCACAUCAUAAGUCAAAUCAUCAUCCAACUGAACUGUGCUGAAAUCCAAAACAUGAGACGGAUCCCCAAUAUACUUCCGGAGCAUAGAAACAUAAAAUACCGGAUGCACACUCGAUAAGCUGGGUGGCAGAGCAAGCUCAUAAGCCACCUCCCCAAUCCUCCAAAGCACCUAAAAAGGCCCUAUGAACCGAGGACUCAAUUUCCCUUUCUUCCCAAAUCUCAUAACACCUUUCAUGGGUGAAACCUUCAACAGAACCUUCUCGCCAACCAUGUUGGACACAUCCCGGACCUUCCUAUCAGCAUAGCUCUUCUGUUUUGACUGCGCUGUGUGAAGCCUCUCCUGAAUCACCUUUACCUUUUCUAAAGCAUCUUGCACAAGGUCUGUCCCCAAUAGCCUAGCCUCAUCGGGCUCGAACCAAUUAACUGGAGAUCUACACCGCCUCCCAUACAAAGCCUCAUAUGGAGCCAUCUGAAUACUCGACUGGUAGUUGUUGUUAUAAGCAAAAUCUGCAAGCGGUAGAAACUGAUCUCAUGACCCUCCGAAAUCAAUGACACAAGCACGCAACAUGUCCUCCAAUAUCUGAAUAGUGCGCUAGGAUUGUCCGUCCGUCUGAGGGUGAAAGCUAUGCUCAACUCAACCUGAGUACCUAACUCUCGCUGCACAGACCUCCAAAACUGCGAAGUAAACUAAGUGCCCCUAUCAGAUAUGAUAGAAACUGGGACACCAUGCAAACGAACAAUCUCCCCGAUAUAGAUCUCUGCCAACCGCCCUGAAGAAUAGAAUUUCACUUUUCCUUAUAUUACAACACAACAAUUUUAGUCUAAGUUACCUAAUUUUUAAGCCAGAUUAAUAGGAACUACCAAGAUCAUGUUUUAGCACAACAUUUCUAAUAUUUAUAUAUGGUGUCUGUUGCAUAACAUAUCCAUUCAGAAUAAGGAGUUUUACACCAAUUACCAACCUUUCUUGCAUCAGAUUGUCAUUGGUAGUCAGAUUAAGGAGAGGCGGAUCAUGAUAUUUUGACUGACUAAACAUCAACAUCAUUGGAUUGAGCUAAAAGAAAGAGGAUAUCCCAAAGGCAUCGAAUUGCAUUAAUUGGUUGAUUAGUUGUUGUUUUCUGAUUAGAGAAGCUUGGAAGAAUAAAAGCAACCAACAUAUAUGGUUUUGGAGAAGUUGACAGAUAGUUGCAUGGUGUGUGAUUCUUGUUAGCUUAUAGUUUUUGCUAUUAUGUGAUUAAUAACUGUUGUCUUUAGAUUUAGCGCAGGUUCCAUUCAUUGCAGCAAUCAUAUAAGACUAAAUCAUCUAAUUUGUGACUUAAUACUAAUAGUCUAAUAUAGUAGUGAAAUUUGGAACUAUACUAUUUCUGUUAAGAUACAAUUUCAAAAUAACUUAUAUUCGAACGAUGAUGCAAUUUAUAUUUGUAAAAAGAAAAGUAAUUAUAUAAUUAUGUCCCUUCGUCAUUUUAAGAGUGUUUCUACCUUUUGUGGUUCUUUAAUUUAUGAACGCUAUUUCCAAAAUAGACACUUAGGACAAAUUGUACCUUAUAGCUGUUUGGGAUUGAAAAAAAGGUGAUACAUUUUAAAAUGUAAAAUCAAAUCUUGAAAGUACUUAUAAUUUUUUCAAGUUUUCAAGAGAAGAUGGUCAACUUGUUUGAAAUCUGCAUCAAUUUCACAAAAGAAAGUGCUAUUGGCUUUUAAAGGAAGCAAAGAACAAGAAAUUUAACGUACACUCACAUGUUAAUCUUUUCCUUUGUAAUUCAAAUACAAAGUCUUUUAUUAAUGGACAAAGUUAAGAAAGUUGAUUGUAUGGUGCUGAAGGAGGUUAUAAUUACAGUCUAUAGUAUGAGGAUUUGACGUUGAUUUCCCCCCAAUAUUUGAUCAAAGAAGGAAUCAUGAGGACCACGAAAAUGCUCCAAAAAUAAAAUCAGCGACCCAAACAUCUACUUCUCCUUUUCUUUUCUGGAAGAACUGAUUGGUUCUUCCAUGAAUUGAGAUAACGCAUAUAGGCGCGAAAAAUAGAUUAAAGGUAUGACUUUGUAAAAUUUAAUAAGAAAUAUGAGGUUCAAAGUUGAGCUUAGAAUUCAUACGUCACACUCAACCAAUAUGGACAAAAGCAACAUACAAUGGGAUAUCGUCUAUGGAAAAGAGCCAAAACUACCCUCAAGCUGCAGGCUUAGGAUCAAAUAUAUCUUCUUUUUACCUAUUAGGCUAAAAUUGCCCUGACGUUUUCUUUUCCUCUCAAAUCUACUCUUGUGACUAACGGCCAUUUAUCUAAUAAUAAUGUGGCAGUUUGUCAUUUGUCGAAUUCAAAACACUUGUUCACAUAAAAAAAAACUACCCAUAUGUAUCCAUUUUCGGACUAACCCGCCCCGGACCAAAAAUCUAACUGAAAAAAGGAACCCUCACCCCCCACCCCCCACCCCCACCCCCACACACAUACUCUUUUUUUUUCUAAGUGCCUCUUCUUCAAAUUAGGGUUCUUCAAAGAAAGAAGAGUCGUGUUAAUGGCUGCAAUGAAACUUUUAGUUUUUUUUUUCACAAGAAAAUUAGUUCAAAUUAGUAGAGAACUAUAAAUUUAGACAUACAUAAACAUUCACAAAUCAUUAAAUACUCUCUAAAAUUUUAGAUCUGAAAAUUUUGACAAGCUUCGAAGCUUAGCUUCGAUGGCGGUCAACUUUGUUCCUUGCAUUUUCGAGCAACCAAGACAAUAGAUAAACUUGACUUUUGCCUCCAAUAAUAACAAUCAGCAGGUUCCAAACAACAAUUUUGACUUUCAAUACCAAACUCUCCCAACAAUUUUGACAAUUUUAAGCCACGAAUUUGACCCAUCAAAGAUCCCAAUCAGUAGAAUAAUUAAGAAAAGUUUUAAGCACUAAAACUCUUCAAUUCAGCAACGGAUGAUCAAUUCUCAAUUCUACCAAUCAACCCAGUUUUUUUUAAAUACUUAUACCAAUGAAAUUCGAAAACUCAGAAACAAAGAAUGAACGCAAGUGCAUUUGAUCAAACAAUGAUACUAUUUUUUAAUUUUCUGAUUUCUUUUUUUUGUUUUUGAUUUGGUAAUAAAAAAUUAGGCACUUCAGAUCGGGUUAGUACAAUUUAGGGAGGGUUAGUCCAAAAAUGAGUACAUAUAUGUCGGUCUUUUUAAUGGGAACAUGUAUUUUAAAUUCUUCCGAUGAGAAGCUAUCAUGUCAUUAUUAAAUAAAAUAUAUUAUUUGGUGGAAAUGACUGUUACUCAUAAGGGUAAACUUGAGCCGAAAUAAAAACGUUAGGGGCAAUUUUACCUCAACAGGUGAACAAAUGAUAUAUUUAGCCCUAAGUCUAUAGUUCAUGGGCAAUUUUGACUUUUUUCUGUAUUGUCUAUAAAGAAGUGUUAAGUGAGAUGUGCUUCAUUUUAAUUUUUUACCUCAAAAAAUUGAAAAAUUUAAAAAUAAAAAUUGCAUAUAUCUAAUUAAACUUUGAUUGUUCAUCUUCAUAUGCUAGGAGAAUAUUCAAUCAUUUUGACCUCGACAAAUAAUUUAUUAUAUUAUAAUUCACGUGCAACGCACGUGCCGAGAGACUAAUAUAUAUAUAUAGUAAGAAAAAAUUCAAUUAAUAAAAUCCACAGCCGCAAGUAUAAUAUUUAAAAAAAUCAAUUCUCUAGUUAAGAAGCAAUAGAUGAGAUGAACAACAUUAAUUUUAAACUAGGAUAGUCAUAUUACAAAUUAAACCGAAAUAGUUCGUGCCUCAGCGAAUAGAACAUGUCAAAAUAAAAUAGGAAUCUAAUAUAUUAUAUAUGUAUGUGUACAUUGUAAAUCGCAAUAUGUGAUUGACUCGAUAAGUAUAUGGAUGAGGAAUCUAAUGUUGAGGAAUACGAAAGUAGAGUGGAAUAGGAUUAUGAGGUUCAGGAGUAGAGUCCCAAACAGAGAAUGCGCUGCUGGAGUUCAUCCAUUUCUCAGUUAUUUCAGGGUAAUGUCGAUCUAACACAUCUUUCAAGCUUUCUGUUGUAUU
Molecule: long non-coding RNA, 34679 nt
Filed under: Nicotiana tabacum (common tobacco)
Lineage: Eukaryota; Viridiplantae; Streptophyta; Magnoliopsida; Solanales; Solanaceae
Description: long non-coding RNA (NTAB_LNC002287)
Source: RNAcentral